Long non-coding RNA from Episyrphus balteatus (marmalade hoverfly), 3611 nucleotides. RefSeq lists it as uncharacterized. NCBI's taxonomy places the organism in Eukaryota, Metazoa, Arthropoda, Insecta, Diptera, Syrphidae. The record is from RefSeq and is a predicted model, not a curated record. The transcript has 2 exons.
ACAAAACAUGAAAAAAUUUUCGUUCUUUUAGAACGACCUGAAAGACAUUGGUUUGUUUCUUAGUUAGACUAAAAUUUUUGUUUUUUUUUAUUUCUAUUUUGGAUUGAGGUUGAAUCAAACUACGGAGUAAAACUAUUUUGAAAAACUAAAAAUGUAUUUUUCAUAGAAAAAAAUUAAUCGAAACUGAAGCUAUUUUUCCUUAUGUUACAAUGUUUGAACAUGUAUAACUUCUGCAAUUAUUGAUAAAAUUCAUCGAAAUAAAAAGAAAUAAGUACCUCAACUCAAAUACUAACACAUUGAUUAGUUUAAGAAAUUUAUAUUAAGUUUUAAGGUCUUAAACAACAAAAAAAUACUAAAAAGUCAUUUUUUCUUAACUUUUUUUUUUUUUUCAAAGUAUGAUUUUGAUUUUUAUUUUAUUUAAAAGCUUUGUUUAUGAACUAUGGAGUAAAACUAUAUUUUGUUGGAAAAUAUUAUUUUGUAACCCUCCAAUCGCUUUUUAAGUAGUCCAAAAAAUAAUAAACUGUACUAUGAUACCAGAAUUUUUAGAUUUUUUGUUAUAUUUUUUUUAUUUUUUUUUUUCAUUAUUUUUUCUAUCAAUAUCAAGUUAGAAAAUAAGAAUUGCUAUAAUAGUUUUCUUACAAUUAAUUUUUGAAAAAGAGUCUACUUUCCAUUUUUUUCCUCAGAAAUUCAUGGAAUGCGUAUGUAUUGGAACUUGUAGUUCAAACAAAUUCCGCUGGCGCUAGUUGUAUCUCUCUCUUUACUAUCUUCUAUUUUGUUUUUACAUGAUCUCUCGCACUCGCUCUGUCGAGUGGUUGUUUGGUGGUAUAAAGAAUAAGAUGAACUUAGGUAUCUGCAUUCUAAAUAUUGUUUGUACCGUUUGUACAUAGGUUUUUCCAUAAAAAAGGAUUGGCGAAAAUGAGAGGAUACAGGAAAUGGAUCUCUCGCACGUUUGCAAUGUAUGGUAUCUGGUGUUGCGUGGUAGGUAUAUGGAAUAGGAUAAACAAGUUUUUUUUUGUAUUCUUGUUUUUUUUUUUGUAAACUGGUUUAUUUAUCUCUUUCAUAAAUUUAUGAUGUUGCAUGUUAGGUAUUCUUCUGAGCAACUGUAUGGAUAUAUUUUUUUCUAUGAAAACAAAAUUUGGAAAGACAGGCAAUGAAAUUGUCUUUUUCUGUGAAAUCGCGCACAACUUUUCUGCUUCUCAAUUACCUCAUUUGUAUAAUUUUUCAAAACAAACUAAUGAGAAAUAUGACCAGUCAAAAACUUCGCUUAGUAGGCGAAGAUGGCAUCUGUGAAGUCAAAUGCCCAUCAUCAGUCAAAAACUUGACUAUAAGCGAUGCAGUUGAAAAGAAAAAACUAAAAUAUCUUCAGAAAAGCGGAGAUACUUUUGUACUAAAAAAAAACGACGAUUAUUUUUAUCAAGUGCAAGGACAACUGCACAUUACAAAACGAUCCCAUUGUUUUUUUGGUGUAUGGACAUCAUGCGAUUUUGUUUAUAUAAAAAUACAAAAAGACGACUCAUUUUGGGAGGACAAAAUAAAAAACAAACUACUAAAUUUUUAUAAUAAUCAUUUUUUAUUGGAAUUAUGUGAUCCACGGAUUCCAAGAAGUAUGAGGGUAUGGAAUACGUAAUAUAACAGCAAACGAUCUACUUUCUAUUAGAAUAUUAUUACUUUUCAAAACUAUGUGUAUUUUUCUAAAUCUGUAACACUAUUUUCUUUUUUCGUUCCAUACCUUCAAAUUAAUUUUCAAUAUUCAGUAAUAUUUUAUCUAAAGCAGUCUAACAUUUAAAUUGUUUUUUGUUUUUUUAGUUAUAAGGAAUUUGUUAUGUUUAUCACCUUUCUAAAUAAACUAUUGAGUAUCUUGUACCUACUUUUAACCCCUUGUAACCCAACAUCGGAAAUUUUAAAAUUAAUAAUGUCAAUCGACUAGCCUUUAGCUAUAAUAAAACACGUAUUUUUUAAAAAUUCAAUAUCUUUAUUAUUUACUUAGUUAUUUCGAAGUUUAAGGAGUAAAAAAAUAAGUUUAAAUAAUUUAUUUUUGUAGAUAAAUGCAAAAAUUGAAGCAAAAAACUUUCUAAUAUUUAUUUUUAGGCGGAUUCCUAAAAUCCAAAAAUAAAACCCCGUUACUUUAUGCAGAAAAAAUAUUUUUUCUGAAUUUCGUUGUUUUUACACAAAUUUGCUUGUUUUCAAAAAAAGCCGAACUUUCAACUUUAACUGCCAGUUAAAAACUAUUGGUGUCAUUCAUUAAAAUAUGAUGUACUAUUUCGAUAAAGCAAUAUCUAAAAAAUAUGUUAUAAGCUUCAAAAGAAGAAAAAUAUAGUGUUUGCAACUUUUGUGGGACCUUUGUUGGUUUGUAACAGAUAUGUCACAUGGGGCUACAAGGGGUUAAUAAUGAAAUAAAAUGUAUUGUUUUUGUACCAAAACUAAUUAAAAUCCAAAAAAUUAUUAUUAUAAUUUCGUAUGUAAAAACAAAAAAUAUUUAUUUAUUUAUUUUAUCUAACUUAAUUGAAGAGAAAAAUAUACAUAUAUACAGGGUGUCCCAAAAGUAAUGGAUCAAACGAAAUAUGCUGAUAGGCCAACUUUAGGGCUCUCAGAAUUUAGUAACUUGUUCAUCCCGAAUCCUUACGGUUUUCAAUUUAAUGCAAUUUUUGUGAAUUAUCGAAAAAUCUCGACUUUGCAACAGUAUUUUGCUUCCUCCGCUCAUAAUUGAUUUUUGUUUUUUACAAUUCUUUCACUAAAACAUUGGCUAAUAAGAAUAAAUAAUUAUUUAAUCAAAAUAUUUUUUAUUUCAUACGCCAUUUUGCUGCAAAUUAAUUAACAGUUCCAUGUUUUAUAAAAACUCAAUUACUUAAUUUUUUUUUUCAGAGCAACACACUGCAAAAAAUUUGUAUGGUGUGACACAGGUUAAUUAUUUUAAAAACUUGCCGUGUUAUUGCACUUUUCAAAAAUGUAUAAAAGUUUCCAAACUUGAAGUUAGAACAAAAGAUAUUACAAUUUUAAUGCAACAAAACAGGCCUUUUCAGAGAAAAAUAACAAAGAAAAAUAAACACAUUUCCUCGACUGUUGUUUGUUUAUUUCUUUUUGAAUAAAAGCCUCGAUUUUUGUUUGUUAUUUUGCUCUGAAAACCCCUGUUUUUUUUGCAUUAAAACUGUAAUAUCUUUGGUUCUAAUUUGAACUUUGGAAAUUUUUAUACAUUUUUGAAAAGUGCAAUAACACGGCAAGUUUUUAAAAUAAUAAACCAGUAUCACACCAUACAAUUUUUUUUCGGGAUGUUCCUCUCAAAUAAAAGUAAGAAAUUGAGUUUUUAUAAAAUAUGGAACUGUUACAUAAUUUGCAGCAAAAUGGCGUAUGAAAUAAAAAAUAUUUUGAUUAAAUAAUUAUUUCUUAUUAUUAGGCAAUGUUUUAGUGAAAGAAUUGUAAAAAACAAAAAUCAAUUAUGACCGGAGGAAGCAAAAUACUGUUGCAAAGUCGAGAUUUUUCGAUAAUUCACAAAAACUGCAUUAAAUUGAAAACCGUAAGGAUUUGGGAUGAACAAGUUACUAAAUUCUGAGAGCCGUAAAGUUGGCCUAUCUGCAUAUUUCGUUUGAUCCAUUACUUUUGGGACACCCUGUAUA